AGAAAUCCCCUGACUUGAAGACUUCCUUAUUUGUAGCUAUCAACAGCCAAUCGUGGCAAGAUAUUGAAAUGAAGCAAAACUACCAGAAAAUAUUCUGUAAGCCACUCGUGACUGUAACUCUGACUUCCUUUUGAAGCAAAGACCCUUUACCUGAAUAGUUAAGAUAUUUUAACAAAAAGCUAGAAAUUGUAAACAAAAAAAUAUUUUUGAUAAAGCACAUUUUCAGCCUGAGCUCAAGUACUCAGAAGAAGAGAGAAGCAAAGAAGGCUCUGCAGGCAGCUUUUCUGCUUUGAGAACUCAGGUUCACUCUUCAGAGAUUUCAACUUUCUCAGGAAGUGAGGGCAGACCCAGUGUGGUCCAUUAUGGUCCUUUCUGGUGUGCCUUUGUCUAAGACAGUGUGGUCCCCUUGAAGUAGCCAACCCUGAUGCUUCCAUGAUAAUCUUGGCCAUGGACUUUUUAACUGAGGAGCUACCCCAGGGAGGUGCCAUGUUGGAUGAUGCUCCAUGACACUGCGGAGGUUCUGAGAGAUUUGCAGACUGACCAGAAGACAACCUCCUGCUUUGGGAUCCUAUUCUCCUCAUUCAGUGUGGGUGUUGCUACAACAAAGCACAUUGAAAUUUAAUCCUAAGAGGGUAAGAGAGAAAUGGUGAUACCUAAUUGCCUCAGGCCUUAGGCCUGAAUUUUCUAGCUAGAGUGAGGCAUGAAGACAAAAAAUGGGAAUGUUAAAUUUUGUGUGAAGACAGGGUUGUUGGCUGGAAGGCAAGGAAAGGAAUAGAUCAUACUUCUCUGUUUCUGAUCACUACCUUGUGAGGAGGUUACCUUGGGAUUCUGGAUGAGAAAUUCCGAACAGCUGCCAGGAAGCAACACACUCUCUGUUUCUCAGGGGAGGAAGAAGGAAAACUAAAGGAACAAAGGACCGUGCCUGGACAGAUGAUGAAGCAAUUAGACUAUUGUGAAAUCUAAAAGAACCGCAGUAUCAGAACAAUUGAAUGAGAAAGUAAAUUACUGAAUGUAAAGCACUAUACAUACUUUGGAAAGAUUUGGAGUAUAUAAGAAAGAAAGAAGCCAUUUUGGAAUCUUAAUGUAAGAUAAGGAGUAAAAUAAACCUGUACUUUUUUUUUUCUGUCAAUCUCUCUCCUGAUUUCCUUGUUUCCCAUCAUGUUGGAGGUCAGUGAGAAGAGUCAACAUGGACCAUUUUUCAUGAAGGUGGCCACUAGUCACCCAGAAUGUCACUAUCUUUUAUUCAGUACUUUGAAAAAUGUACUUAAAUAAAUAAAUGAACACCCCAUUUCAAUUGAGUCAUUUAGUGGGAGUCACAAGGUGAGAGGCCACAGUAUAGACUAAGCCACAUCACUGGUCCCUUGAAAAAGUAAGAGUGGAAUUUUUAUGCUUAUCAAUACUAGUAAAUAAUAAAUGUUUUUAUUUCUUAUCUUUUACAAUAUUUACCUUCAGUGUGAUGUUCAGGUACUGAGUAUUCCAAGGUUAGAAAGAUUGAUGAAUGGACAGACAGGAAGAGUGAAAGACAGGAAAAACAUUUUACAGUUCUGUAGCAUUUCCAGGCUAUUGGUGCCUACUAAUUCCUUCCUGUUGUACAUCUUCUAAACAUAGCUUUCCUUAUGAGUGAUGUGUCAUAUUUAAGAUAGGCUUUAAGUGUUACUGGGAGAGUCCUAUUUCUUCCAAGAUAUUUUUGUUUCUUACUCUUUCAGUCCUUAUGGUUUAACCAUUAAGAAUUAAUUUCUUUAGAUCUUCUAAACUAUCCCACUGAAAUGUAAGUGUCCUUGGAAAGAUAACACCUUGCAUUUCCCUCAAAGAUAACACCUUGCAUUUCCUUGAAGCCUGGUUGGAUAGGCGGGUAGACUCACUUUAGUGAGAUAAACCCUGCUUGAAUAUAACAUAGGCUAGUGUAAGGAUGGAGGAAAGGACAGCCAUGUUCCAAGAGGAUAGCUGAGCAGGGAGGUGAGGAACUGUUACUUAGAUGGGGAGUGUUAUGAGUUACUCUCAAGAGAACUAGUUAGCAGUUGAAUAUAGCUUCCAUUCUAGAAUUGAACAGAUGAGUUACUUAAAAUGGUUGCUUUGGGGGGCAGGUUGAAGAAUUUUGUUGUUCAUCAUCUUCCUGAGAGUCACAUAUAAACAGGCUUACUUUCUAUUUUAAAACAAAGAAAACAGAGGGCUAUGACAGAAGUACCCUGUAAUUGUGACCAUGUGUGAAUCCCAAAUAUAGGCCAUAACAAUAUUUCUACCUGCCCCUGCAGGAACUAACACAUUUGGUGAACUACUUUCUAAAAUUUCAAAUAAAUUAUAAAAAAAUUCAAAAAAAAUGGGAAAGUCAAAGAAAAAAUGUUUUAUCUUCCAAAGACAACUGCAUAUAAAUUUCUAGUUUUCUUUCCUUUAAAUUAAUAUGUUUCCAACUAUUGUACUGCAAAGGAAUAGCCAUUGCAAGAAAGUUUAAAUUCAGAAGGUAUAAAGAGAAGAAGUCUUCCAAAACCGUACUAACUUAAGAAAUGGCCACUAAGAACAUUUGUGUAUUUCCUUUAUGUAUUUAUAAAAAUCUGUAUAUAUGGGUUAUUGCAAAUGACUUGUUCCCAAAAUUGAUUCUGCUUUUCUUCCGGGGCACACAAUGACUCAAUUAAAAACCACAUUUCCCAGAUUCCAUUGUGGCUAGGUGUGACCACAUGACAAAAUUUUCACCAAUGAGACAUGAGAAGAAGUCACAUGUACAAUUUCUGGUCAUUUUCUGUAAAGUGAUUGUCCUUGACCUAUUCUUCCUUUUCCUUUCCACUCACAGGGACUGAUUGUUAGGAGGGAAUAGGAGGUCCAGGCUGAUCAAUAAAUGGCACAAACACCUA
Molecule: long non-coding RNA, 2846 nt
Organism: Marmota monax (woodchuck)
Lineage: Eukaryota; Metazoa; Chordata; Mammalia; Rodentia; Sciuridae
Exons: 7
Source: RefSeq, a predicted model, not a curated record